This 790-nucleotide ribosomal RNA is filed under the name Cytobacillus depressus. RNAcentral describes it as "bacterial SSU rRNA". It matches the Rfam family "Bacterial small subunit ribosomal RNA", at positions 78 to 852 of the family's 1533-position model. The record is from RNAcentral. Lineage: Bacteria; Bacillati; Bacillota; Bacilli; Caryophanales; Bacillaceae.
GCUUGCUCCCAAAGGUUAGCGGCGGACGGGUGAGUAACACGUGGGCAACCUGCCUGUAAGACUGGGAUAACUUCGGGAAACCGGAGCUAAUACCGGAUAAUUCUUUUCUACUCAUGUAGGAAAGCUGAAAGAUGGUUUCGGCUAUCACUUACAGAUGGGCCCGCGGCGCAUUAGCUAGUUGGUGAGGUAACGGCUCACCAAGGCAACGAUGCGUAGCCGACCUGAGAGGGUGAUCGGCCACACUGGGACUGAGACACUACCCAGACUCCUACGGGAGGCAGCAGUAGGGAAUCUUCCGCAAUGGACGAAAGUCUGACGGAGCAACGCCGCGUGAGUGAUGAAGGUUUUCGGAUCGUAAAACUCUGUUGUUAGGGAAGAACAAGUACCGGAGUAACUGCCGGUACCUUGACGGUACCUAACCAGAAAGCCACGGCUAACUACGUGCCAGCAGCCGCGGUAAUACGUAGGUGGCAAGCGUUGUCCGGAAUUAUUGGGCGUAAAGCGCGCGCAGGCGGUUCCUUAAGUCUGAUGUGAAAGCCCCCGGCUCAACCGGGGAGGGUCAUUGGAAACUGGGGAACUUGAGUGCAGAAGAGGAGAGUGGAAUUCCACGUGUAGCGGUGAAAUGCGUAGAGAUGUGGAGGAACACCAGUGGCGAAGGCGACUCUCUGGUCUGUAACUGACGCUGAGGCGCGAAAGCGUGGGGAGCGAACAGGAUUAGAUACCCUGGUAGUCCACGCCGUAAACGAUGAGUGCUAAGUGUUAGAGGGUUUCCGCCCUUUAGUGCUGCAGC